RNAcentral lists this ribosomal RNA (253 nucleotides) under uncultured bacterium. Its description in RNAcentral is "partial 16S ribosomal RNA". It matches the Rfam family "Bacterial small subunit ribosomal RNA", at positions 524 to 776 of the family's 1533-position model. The record is from RNAcentral.
UACGUAGGGUGCAAGCGUUGUCCGGAAUUAUUGGGCGUAAAGAGCUCGUAGGCGGUCUGUCGCGUCGUCUGUGAAAUCCCGAGGCUCAACCUCGGGUCUGCAGUCGAUACGGGCAAACUGGAGUGUUGCAGGGGAGACUGGAAUUCCUGGUGUAGCGGUGAAAUGCGCAGAUAUCAGGAGGAACACCGGUGGCGAAGGCGGGUCUCUGGGCAACAACUGACGCUGAGGAGCGAAAGCGUGGGGAGCAAAAGGG